RNAcentral lists this ribosomal RNA (468 nucleotides) under uncultured bacterium. RNAcentral's name for it is "partial 16S ribosomal RNA". It matches the Rfam family "Bacterial small subunit ribosomal RNA", at positions 29 to 507 of the family's 1533-position model. The record is from RNAcentral.
AACGAACGCUGGCGGCGUGCUUAACACAUGCCAGUCGAACGGAAAAGCCCUGCUUUCGUGUGGUGCUCGAGUGGCGAACGAGUGUGUAACACAUGAGUAACCUGCCCUUGACUUUAGGAUAACUUCAGAAAACCGUUACUAAUACCGGCUAGGAGCUCCUGAUGCAUGGCGGGGGUUGGAAAGUUUCGGCGGUUGGGGAUGGACGCGCGGCUUAUCAGCUUGUUGGUAGAGUAGUGGCUUACCAAGGCUUUGACGGGUAGCCGGCCUGGGAGGGUGACCGGCCACAUGACGACUGAGAUACGGACCAGACUGCUACGGGAGGCAGCAGUGGGGAAUAUUGCACAGUGGGGGGAAGCGUGAUGCAGCAACGUCGCGUGCGGGAUGACCGCCUUGUGGUUGUGAACCGCAGUCGGUUGAGACGAAGCGUGAGUGACGGUAAUGGGUAAAGAAGCACCGGCUAACUACGUG